AUGUCGUGUUGCAACAACCCCGAGCUGUCACGGUGCCAAGUCAUCCACAAUGUCGUUCAUGCUAUUAUUCUCCAUCAACAACAACAACAAAAACAACAACAACAACAACAACCGUCGAGCCAGGUCUUCUACCAGCAGCCUCAGCAACAAUAUCCAUCAGGCCAGGGUUCCUUCCAGCCAUCUCAGCAAAACCCACAGGCCCAUGGCUUUGUCCAACCUCAGCAACUGCCACAGUUUGAGGAAAUAAGGAACCUAGCGCUACAGACACUACCAGCAAUGUGCAAUGUCUACAUCCCUCCAUAUUGCUCGACCACCAUUGCGCCAUUUGGCAUCGUGAGUACUAACUGA
This 348-nucleotide ribosomal RNA is filed under the name Triticum aestivum (bread wheat). RNAcentral describes it as "partial small subunit ribosomal RNA". The record is from RNAcentral. Lineage: Eukaryota; Viridiplantae; Streptophyta; Magnoliopsida; Poales; Poaceae.